Molecule: ribosomal RNA, 497 nt
Filed under: uncultured bacterium
Lineage: Bacteria
Description: partial 16S ribosomal RNA
Rfam family: Bacterial small subunit ribosomal RNA
Source: RNAcentral
GAUGAACGCUGGCGGCGUGCCUAAUACAUGCAAGUCGAGCGAACGAACGAGAAGCUUUCUUUUCUGAUGUUAGCGGCGGACGGGUGAGUAACACGUGGAUAACCUACCUAUAAGACUGGGAUAACUUCGGGAAACCUGAGCUAAUACCGGAUAUUAUGUUGAACCGCAUGGUUCAACAGUGAAAGACGGUCUUGCUGUCACUUAUAGAUGGAUCCGCGCUGCAUUAGCUAGUUGGUAAGGUAACGGCUUACCAAGGCAACGAUGCAUAGCCGACCUGAGAGGGUGAUCGGCCACACUGGAACUGAGACACGGUCCAGACUCCUACGGGAGGCAGCAGUAGGGAAUCUUCCGCAAUGGGCGAAAGCCUGACGGAGCCACGCCGCGUGAGUGAUGAAGGUCUUCGGAUCGUAAAGCUCUUUUAUUUGGGAAGAAGAUAUGUGUGAGUAACUGUGCACGUCUUGACGGUACCUAAUCAGAAAGCCACGGCUAACUACGUG